Molecule: ribosomal RNA, 456 nt
Filed under: uncultured bacterium
Lineage: Bacteria
Description: SSU rRNA
Rfam family: Bacterial small subunit ribosomal RNA
Source: RNAcentral
AGAACGAACGCUGGCGGCAUGCCUAACACAUGCAAGUCGAACGUGAUCCGGGGCUUGCUCCGGUGAAAGUGGCGGACGGGUGAGUAACGCGUGGGAACCUGCCCAGUGGUCGGGGAUAACUGCGGGAAACUGCAGCUAAUACCCGGUAAGCCCUACGGGGGAAAGAUUUAUCGCCAUUGGAGGGGCCCGCGUCGGAUUAGGUAGUUGGUGGGGUAAAGGCCUACCAAGCCUUCGAUCCGUAGCUGGUCUGAGAGGAUGAUCAGCCACACUGGGACUGAGAUACGGCCCAGACUCCUACGGGAGGCAGCAGUGGGGAAUAUUGGACAAUGGGCGCAAGCCUGAUCCAGCAAUGCCGCGUGAGUGAAGAAGGCCUUAGGGUUGUAAAGCUCUUUCGGCGGGGACGAUGAUGACGGUACCCGCAGAAGAAGCACCGGCUAACUACGCGCCAGCAGCCGC